GACGAACGCUGGCGGCGUGCUUAACACAUGCAAGUCGAACGCUGAAGCCUAGCUUGCUGGGUGGAUGAGUGGCGAACGGGUGAGUAACACGUGAGUAACCUGCCCUCUUCUUUGGGAUAACGCCCGGAAACGGGUGCUAAUACUGGAUAUUCACUGGCCUUCGCAUGGGGGUUGGUGGAAAGGUUUUUUCUGGUGGGGGAUGGGCUCGCGGCCUAUCAGCUUGUUGGUGGGGUGAUGGCCUACCAAGGCUUUGACGGGUAGCCGGCCUGAGAGGGUGACCGGUCACAUUGGGACUGAGAUACGGCCCAGACUCCUACGGGAGGCAGCAGUGGGGAAUAUUGCACAAUGGGCGAAAGCCUGAUGCAGCGACGCCGCGUGAGGGAUGGAGGCCUUCGGGUUGUAAACCUCUUUCGCUCAUGGUCAAGCCGCAACUUGGGUUGCGGUGAGGGUAGUGGGUAAAGAAGCGCCGGCUAACUACGUGCCAGCAGCCGCGGUAAUACGUAGGGCGCGAGCGUUGUCCGGAAUUAUUGGGCGUAAAGGGCUUGUAGGCGGUUGGUCGCGUCUGCCGUGAAAUCCUCUGGCUUAACUGGGGGCGUGCGGUGGGUACGGGCUGACUUGAGUGCGGUAGGGGAGACUGGAACUCCUGGUGUAGCGGUGGAAUGCGCAGAUAUCAGGAAGAACACCGGUGGCGAAGGCGGGUCUCUGGGCCGUUACUGACGCUGAGGAGCGAAAGCGUGGGGAGCGAACAGG
Molecule: ribosomal RNA, 750 nt
Filed under: uncultured Actinomyces sp.
Lineage: Bacteria; Bacillati; Actinomycetota; Actinomycetes; Actinomycetales; Actinomycetaceae
Description: bacterial SSU rRNA
Rfam family: Bacterial small subunit ribosomal RNA
Source: RNAcentral